CUGAGCCCGCCGAGUCCACAGCAGCUACAACCGUGGUGUUCUUGAUUUUAUUCUGCAGAGUGAGCUCUCCACGUUUGCUUUCUGGAGGACCCAGGUGACCGCUCACCUCCCCUUCCUCCUGGAGCCCUGAAGUCGGAGGCCCUGAGCCAUGGACGGUAUCUGAGGAUCGGUUUAGCGUAUCUGGCCGGAGAAAUUGGCAACAUUUGCUACGAAUAAAACCCAAGCGUUUCCAGCAGCCAUUUUGAAUUAAGUUUCCCACCCGACAAGCCGUCGUCCCCUCCACUGCACAUCCAGGAUCCGGUGGAGGAGAAAGGCGCCGGGCGGAGGGUUGGGGAGGGCCGGUUCCUGCGGGUUCCUCUUAGGCGGCCGCGCGAAGCCCAGGCUCGGGGGAUCUCGGUGGCAGGCGCUCAGCUAACUUGGGGAAAGGACGUCCAUGGCCGUGGGGCCGACUGUCAACGGGCUGCACCUAGGGAUCCCAACCCCAAGGCCCUCGGAGAGCCGGGAGGCUCCUCCUCAGCUCCUCGCACACUCCCCUCCCUUCGCAGAUGGCCCCCACCGCCCCCCGAAGAAAGUUCCUUCAAAUGUUCCUGCGGUAGAGCCUUUCAUUUUGUCUCUGCGAAGUGGCAAAGCAGCUAGUAUUGCGAGGGGCCUAGAUGUCGCUUGUCUCAGCCCAUAAAAAAGAAAAAAGA
Molecule: non-coding RNA, 689 nt
Filed under: Pongo abelii (Sumatran orangutan)
Lineage: Eukaryota; Metazoa; Chordata; Mammalia; Primates; Hominidae
Source: RNAcentral